GGGGAUUUAGCUCAGCGGUAGAGCGCUUGCCUAGCGAGCACAAGGUCCUGGGUUCAGUCCCCAGCUCCG
RNAcentral lists this transfer RNA (69 nucleotides) under Rattus norvegicus (Norway rat). It matches the Rfam family "tRNA". Rfam says of the family: Transfer RNA (tRNA) molecules are approximately 80 nucleotides in length. Their secondary structure includes four short double-helical elements and three loops (D, anti-codon, and T loops). The record is from Rfam by way of RNAcentral. Lineage: Eukaryota; Metazoa; Chordata; Mammalia; Rodentia; Muridae.